AACGAACGCUUGCGGCAGGCUUAACACAUGCAAGUCGAACGCCCUAGCAAUAGGGAGUGGCAGACGGGUGAGUAACACGUGGGAACCUACCUUAUGGUACGGAAUAACCGAGGGAAACUUCGGCUAAUACCGUAUAAGCCCUUCGGGGGAAAGAUUUAUCGCCAUUAGAUGGGCCCGCGUCGGAUUAGCUUGUUGGUGGGGUAAUGGCCUACCAAGGCGACGAUCCGUAGCUGGUCUGAGAGGACGAUCAGCCACACUGGGACUGAGACACGGCCCAGACUCCUGCGGGAGGCAGCAGUGGGGAAUCUUGGACAAUGGGCGAAAGCCUGAUCCAGCCAUGCCGCGUGAGUGAUGAAGGCCUUAGGGUUGUAAAGCUCUUUUAGCAGGGACGAUAAUGACGGUACCUGCAGAAUAAGCCCCGGCUAACUUCG
This 431-nucleotide ribosomal RNA is filed under the name uncultured Hyphomicrobiaceae bacterium. RNAcentral describes it as "bacterial SSU rRNA". It matches the Rfam family "Bacterial small subunit ribosomal RNA", at positions 29 to 505 of the family's 1533-position model. Lineage: Bacteria; Pseudomonadati; Pseudomonadota; Alphaproteobacteria; Hyphomicrobiales; Hyphomicrobiaceae. The record is from RNAcentral.